Molecule: ribosomal RNA, 265 nt
Filed under: uncultured archaeon
Lineage: Archaea
Description: partial 16S ribosomal RNA
Rfam family: Archaeal small subunit ribosomal RNA
Source: RNAcentral
ACACGACUACAUUAGAUACCCCUGUAGUCCUAGCCGUAAACGAUACUCGCUAGGUGUCGGCCACGGUGCGACCGUUGUCGGUGCCGUAGGGAAGCCGUGAAGCGAGCCACCCGGGAAGUACGGCCGCAAGGCUGAAACUUAAAGGAAUUGGCGGGGGAGCACCACAACGGGUGGAGCUUGCGGUUUAAUUGGAUUCAACGCCGGAAAUCUUACCGGGACCGACAGCAACAUGAAGGCCAGGCUGAAGACUUUGCCGGAUUAGCUG